Long non-coding RNA from Arachis duranensis, 1861 nucleotides. RefSeq lists it as uncharacterized. The transcript is spliced from 6 exons. The record is from RefSeq and is a predicted model, not a curated record. NCBI's taxonomy places the organism in Eukaryota, Viridiplantae, Streptophyta, Magnoliopsida, Fabales, Fabaceae.
CUAAUCCUUUUUUUUAGUCAUUGUUGACCCCUUCGACGCUUGGCCCACCAGUGAUUGCCGUUCGCCCUCGUCUUCUCCUUAACGUCACUAGAUGUCGUGCUCGGAGCUGUUGCGUCGCAGUCUCUAUUGUUGUCUUCAAGCCAGUCUCCUUCCUUGUUGUCAUUGGCCCCGAAAUCGACGUCUCUAUUCUUGCGUCAAGCCUCUGUCUUCGAGUCUCUUCUCUCUCUGUCCGAGGUCUCAUCCUUCCUCUCUUGACGUCAUCUUCCUUCCUCCCUCGCUGCCGUUUGAUAAUAGUAUAAGUGAUAACCUUGGUGGUAUUCAGUAUAUUAAGAUGACCAGGAUAGGUCAUUACAUGAAGACAUCAAAGUUAGAUACAGCAUGCCAGCAACCUCAAAUAGGAGUUGUUGCGGCUUCAUCCUCCCAUCAAGUGAACUGCCCAAUUCCCCCCGUCUAGUGGUGGUGAUGUUCCCGCAGCUACAUCUUUAUGCCCAUUUCGUCCGUUCCGUAGAGCACCAUAACCUGCUCCACAGACUUACACAAUUGGUGUUCAAAACUCGGAGCCGGGUGAUAAAGAUUUAGACCUAGAGGCAAAUGAGGUAGAUUCCUUUGAGCAACACGUUGACAACCUAUUUGUUGAAUCAAAGACUCAGAAGCGAGCGCAAGGAAUGCAAGACCACUGAAUUUUGGAUGUUUAAACAAUUAGUAUACAAAUCUUGGAUCUUUUAUAGUCAAAAUGAUGAAUGCUCUUUUUUAUGAUUUCAUUGCAUCUUGGCCACAAUGAUUUUUACAGAAUCCAAUGGCACAAUCAAACAAGCUCAUUUGAGUGUAAUGGAAGCUAUAAAGUCACAUAACGAUUGAAAGAUCGUACUCAAAUUCAACGAAAAAUUUCAAGCAAUUGGAGAUGAAGCUGGUAUACUGAGUGGCAUUUUUGAAUUGCUAAGUGCUGACUACAAUAAAUUUCCAAUCUGUGAGAAAGAUUGGAGAAAGAUUAGCUCCAAGGACAAGAUCUAUAACGAAUGUAUAAAAGGAAAUGUUCCAUUUUGAUGAAGAUAGUAGAGGAAUUAUCAAGCGUACAAUUAUAAAAAGUAUAGGGAGAUCUUGGGAAAAAAUGAGGAGCAGAUUGUACUAUGACUAUUACAACUCUGAAUAAACGAUUGAACAAAAUAUUGAAGAACGCCCACCAGGAAUUAGUGUAGAUCAUUAGAGAUGGUUCCUUGAUUAUUGCAAUAGUGAAGACACAAAGGAGAAGUGUAGGAAAAAUGUUAUGAAUUAAUCGAAGCAACUAUACACUCACACUGGUGGUUCAAAAAGCUUGGCAAGGCAUAGAGAAGAAAAGUCAGAACUACAAGAGAGGAAAGUUAGUAGAGGAGAGUUAUGGACCUUAGUGCACAAAUGACGUGAUGGCGCCUAUAUCCAUGAAGAAUCUCGGGCCAUUGGUGAAAGAAUUGUGGAGAUUGAGCAACAUGAUGAAUUCUCUAGACUAUUGUCUCAGAAUGAUUCGGUUGCUCAUGCUUUUGGAAAAGAGCACCCGGGUAGAGUCCGUGGCGUGGGUUUUAGACCGAUUUCUAGUCAACUCUUCGGUACAACUUUUCAUGAACAGAACGAUGGAGCUCAAAGAGAGGAGACUCAAACGGUACUACUUGAACUAUAAGCAGAGCUGACAGCUAAGAAAUUAAAAAGGAAGGUAGUGGAGGAAGAAGUAGCAGCCGAGAAGACAAAAAGGCAGGUAGUUGAGAAUGAAGUAGCAGUCGAGAAGAUAAAGAUGCAUGCAAUUGAGAGUGCUCAAAGAUGUCUAAUUCAAAGGCACGGUGGGAAGCUACCAUUAGACAUCGCUGCAUGGAUGAAUUCCUUGGAGGGACAA